Molecule: long non-coding RNA, 872 nt
Organism: Cyanistes caeruleus (blue tit)
Lineage: Eukaryota; Metazoa; Chordata; Aves; Passeriformes; Paridae
Source: RefSeq, a predicted model, not a curated record
GUCUGGGGAACAACAGUCGUAUUCUGCAAUCCCACAGAGCAGGACAAGGUAGGAACAGGCAUUUGAGGAGAGUCAAAGGCCAAAUGCAUACAGCCCAAAGGAGUACAGACUGCCUGCUCAGCUCUUCAAGCUACAAGAAGCCUGCCACAGCCUUCAUCUGCUGAGGAGGAGCCACCACUAGUCAAGACAGAGAGUACUGAAGAGAGAGCUAAUGCUUCUGGAUUAAAGGCACUGCUCCCUCAGAAAGAACAGUACAACAGCACUCUGGAUGGUGACAGGCAUUUCAAGUAUAUUCAAGGACACUGGCAGCAAUGUGGAGAACUGAAAGCCCCUACCAUACGAAAAAGAUACGGCUUGCCUGGAGACCAUCCAGAGAAGGACCACAAAGAUCAUCAUUGCCUGGAAAAAAUGCCAUGUGAAGAAAGGCUGGAACAACAGGCUCUGUUCAUCAAAAAGAAAGCUUAGAGACUUUAUUAUAUACUUAUACCCAAUGAAGAGUGGUUAUAAAGGAGACGGAGGCUCCCUUUAUCCAAGGAGUUACAUGGAGAAGAUGAUAGUUAAAGAGCACAAGUCACUCCUAUACAGUGGUCAAUACAAUCUGCAAUGCAGCAGCCCUUUGGAACAGAACCUAAGAAGAUGUGUCUGAGAGGAAAUUGAGAUCAGCUGUAGGCAUGAAGAGGUUGGAAUAUCACACUGAUUCUUCAGUACCUCAACAACAAAGACAAAAAGCAAAAGAUGUAGGUGUGAUUUAUCCAGGCUUAAAACAGGAAGACAGACAUACAGAGCUGGCUGUUGUUGAACUGGCUGGGGACAAGAGAGCUCUUCCCAGUCAAUACUGCCAUUGUUUGCUUGGGCAUACAGAAUAAAACAUU